GCCUCUGAAGAUUACCGGAAAUGAUCAUCGAGCUACGAACUCGAAGGCAGUUGGUUCGAUUCCAACCGGGGGCA
This 74-nucleotide transfer RNA is filed under the name Candidatus Obscuribacterales bacterium. RNAcentral describes it as "tRNA-Arg". It matches the Rfam family "tRNA". From Rfam's summary of the family: Transfer RNA (tRNA) molecules are approximately 80 nucleotides in length. Lineage: Bacteria; Bacillati; Candidatus Melainabacteria; Candidatus Obscuribacterales. The record is from RNAcentral.